UGGGGAAUCUUGGACAAUGGGCGAAAGCCUGAUCCAGCCAUGCCGCGUGAGUGAUGAAGGCCCUAGGGUUGUAAAACUCUUUCGGCGGGGACGAUAAUGACGGUACCCGCAGAAGAAGCUCCGGCUAACUUCGUGCCAGCAGCCGCGGUAAUACGAAGGGGGCUAGCGUUGUUCGGAAUUACUGGGCGUAAAGCGUGCGCAGGCGGCUUUUCAAGUCAGGGGUGAAAGCCCAGAGCUCAACUCUGGAAUUGCCUUUGAAACUGGAUGGCUCGAGUGCGGGAGAGGUGAGUGGAAUUCCCAGUGUAGAGGUGAAAUUCGUAGAUAUUGGGAAGAACACCGGUGGCGAAGGCGGCUCACUGGCCCGUUUCUGACGCUCAUGCACGACAGCGUGGGGAUCAAA
This 400-nucleotide ribosomal RNA is filed under the name uncultured bacterium. RNAcentral's name for it is "bacterial SSU rRNA". It matches the Rfam family "Bacterial small subunit ribosomal RNA", at positions 355 to 772 of the family's 1533-position model. The record is from RNAcentral.